RNAcentral lists this ribosomal RNA (450 nucleotides) under uncultured bacterium. RNAcentral describes it as "bacterial SSU rRNA". It matches the Rfam family "Bacterial small subunit ribosomal RNA", at positions 354 to 796 of the family's 1533-position model. The record is from RNAcentral.
GUGGGGAAUAUUGGACAAUGGGCGCAAGCCUGAUCCAGCCAUGCCGCGUGUGUGAAGAAGGCCUUCGGGUUGUAAAGCACUUUUGUUGGGAAAGAAAUCCUGUCGGCUAAUACCCGGCGGGGAUGACGGUACCCAAAGAAUAAGCACCGGCUAACUUCGUGCCAGCAGCCGCGGUAAUACGAAGGGUGCAAGCGUUACUCGGAAUUACUGGGCGUAAAGCGUGCGUAGGUGGUUCGUUAAGUCAGAUGUGAAAGCCCCGGGCUCAACCUGGGAAUUGCAUUUGAUACUGGCGGACGAGAGUGCGGUAGAGGAGAGUGGAAUUCCCGGUGUAGCAGUGAAAUGCGUAGAGAUCGGGAGGAACAUCAGUUGCGAAGGCGGCUCUCUGGACCAGCACUGACACUGAGGCACGAAAGCGUGGGGAGCAAACAGGAUUAGAAACCCGGGUAGUCC